CCUACGGGGGGCAGCAGUGAGGAAUAUUGGUCAAUGGGCGGAAGCCUGAACCAGCCAAGUAGCGUGCAGGAUGACGGCCCUACGGGUUGUAAACUGCUUUUAUACGGGAAUAACGCGCCUUACGUGUAGGGCUUUGCAUGUACCGUAUGAAUAAGGACCGGCUAAUUCCGUGCCAGCAGCCGCGGUAAUACGGAAGGUCCGGGCGUUAUCCGGAUUUAUUGGGUUUAAAGGGAGCGUAGGCCGCAUGUCAAGCGUGCUGUGAAAUGUCCGGGCUCAACCCGGGCCUUGCAGCGCGAACUGGCGUGCUUGAGUCCGCGGAAAGCAGGCGGAAUUCGUCGUGUAGCGGUGGAAUGCUUAGAUAUGACGAAGAACCCCGAUUGCGAAGGCAGCUUGCUGCAGCGGAACUGACGCUGAUGCUCGAAAGCGCGGGUAUCGAACAGGAUUAGAUACCCUUGUAGUC
RNAcentral lists this ribosomal RNA (460 nucleotides) under uncultured bacterium. RNAcentral's name for it is "partial 16S ribosomal RNA". It matches the Rfam family "Bacterial small subunit ribosomal RNA", at positions 338 to 795 of the family's 1533-position model. The record is from RNAcentral.